RNAcentral lists this non-coding RNA (183 nucleotides) under Pseudomonadaceae bacterium. RNAcentral's name for it is "6S RNA". It matches the Rfam family "6S / SsrS RNA". From Rfam's summary of the family: E. coli 6S RNA was the first non coding RNA to be sequenced, but its function was unknown until recently. It consists of 184 nucleotides that fold into an extended hairpin structure with a large single-stranded internal bulge. Lineage: Bacteria; Pseudomonadati; Pseudomonadota; Gammaproteobacteria; Pseudomonadales; Pseudomonadaceae. The record is from RNAcentral.
UCAACCCUGGGGUGUUGGCCAGUUGUCCACGUCCUCGAGCCUAUGUUGUACCAACUGGAAGUUUCUCUGACUUUGCUAGUGUGCAGGUCCGCCUAGUAGCGGAAAGCCUUAAGUGAAUCGGUUACUUCCACCUUGAACUUUAGGGUUCAAGGAAUACGACGGCAGCGGCACUCCGGGGUCUAU